RNAcentral lists this long non-coding RNA (719 nucleotides) under Homo sapiens (human). RNAcentral's name for it is "long non-coding RNA NONHSAT212871.1". The record is from RNAcentral. Lineage: Eukaryota; Metazoa; Chordata; Mammalia; Primates; Hominidae.
AAGAAUUCUCUCACCUGCCUUCUGCCCUUAAGCUCCGGUAGAUUGCAAAUAACCUGCUUUCUUUCUGUUCCCGAGCUGCGUUCGGACCCAUGUCUUAUUGUAAAUCCCACGCAAGCUGCGUUCGGACCCGUCUGAUCGUAAAUCCCAUGUAAGGUACCUGCCGUCGGAAGAUUUGAACGUUCUACUUGGACACCUAAAACCCACAGUCCUCCAGAUUUGAACUUUCUACUUGGACAACUAACACCCACAGUCCUCCAGGUGGGUCCUAAGGAUCUUAGGAGCAACGAUGGGGGGUCCUAAGCCAGGGGGGGAUGAGGGUACCUGCCGUCGGAAGAUUUGAGCUUUCUUCUUGAACACCUCAUACCCACAGUCCUCCAGACAGAAAGACAACAGGUACAAAGCCCUAAGGAUUAUAAAGGUAUGCUGCUUACCAUCAUCUUAGUGACCAAGGCAGCGAAGCUGUUUCUGUACCUUGGAACAGUCUUCCCUGACAAGCCAGAGAACAGUGAUAAAGCCACCAGCCUUGGGAUCAGGACUGAAAAGGCAAGAGUGAUGGAGAUUUCUCCUGCGCUAAGCCAAGAGAAGGUUUCAGCACUUCAGACAGCUCCCACCGAAGUAGCCGCGCUCCCAGCUGCUUGCAGAUGUUGAAAAGGAAAGCCUCGGUUUGUCUUGAGGUUGUCAGCAGGUGCAAGACACGUAAUAAAAUGCAAUGUGUUCCU